This 468-nucleotide ribosomal RNA is filed under the name uncultured bacterium. Its description in RNAcentral is "partial 16S ribosomal RNA". It matches the Rfam family "Bacterial small subunit ribosomal RNA", at positions 28 to 507 of the family's 1533-position model. The record is from RNAcentral.
GACGAACGCUGGCGGCGUGCUUAACACAUGCAAGUCGAACGGAAAGGCCCUGCUUUUGUGGGGUGCUCGAGUGGCGAACGGGUGAGUAACACGUGAGUAACCUGCCCCUGACUUUGGGAUAACUUCAGGAAACUGGGGCUAAUACCGGAUAGGAGCUCCUGCUGCAUGGUGGGGGUUGGAAAGUUUCGGCGGUUGGGGAUGGUCUCGCGGCUUAUCAGCUUGUUGGUGGGGUAGUGGCUUACCAAGGCUUUGACGGGUAGCCGGCCUGGGAGGGUGACCGGCCACAUUGGGACUGAGAUACGGCCCAGACUCCUACGGGAGGCAGCAGGGGGGAAUAUUGCACAAUGGGCGGAAGCCUGAUGCAGCAACGCCGCGUGCGGGAUGACGGCCUUCGGGUUGUAAACCGCUUUCGCCUGUGACGAAGCGUGAGUGACGGUAAUGGGUAAAGAAGCACCGGCUAACUACGUG